This 74-nucleotide transfer RNA is filed under the name Kiritimatiellia bacterium. Its description in RNAcentral is "Kiritimatiellae bacterium (gut metagenome) tRNA-Gly". It matches the Rfam family "tRNA". From Rfam's summary of the family: Transfer RNA (tRNA) molecules are approximately 80 nucleotides in length. Their secondary structure includes four short double-helical elements and three loops (D, anti-codon, and T loops). Further hydrogen bonds mediate the characteristic L-shaped molecular structure. tRNAs have two regions of fundamental functional importance: the anti-codon, which is responsible for specific mRNA codon recognition, and the 3' end, to which the tRNAs corresponding amino acid is attached (by aminoacyl-tRNA synthetases). tRNAs cope with the degeneracy of the genetic code in two manners: having more than one tRNA (with a specific anti-codon) for a particular amino acid; and 'wobble' base-pairing, i.e. permitting non-standard base-pairing at the 3rd anti-codon position. Lineage: Bacteria; Pseudomonadati; Kiritimatiellota; Kiritimatiellia. The record is from RNAcentral.
GCGGGUGUUGCUUAACGGUAAAGCCCCAGCCUUCCAAGCUGGUCACGUGGGUCCGACUCCCAUCACCCGCUCCA